RNAcentral lists this ribosomal RNA (450 nucleotides) under uncultured bacterium. RNAcentral describes it as "bacterial SSU rRNA". It matches the Rfam family "Bacterial small subunit ribosomal RNA", at positions 958 to 1400 of the family's 1533-position model. The record is from RNAcentral.
AACGCGAAGAACCUUACCUGGGUUUGACAUCCCACGACAACCGUAGAGAUACGGCUUUGGUAGCAAUACCACGUGGAGACAGGUGCUGCAUGGCUGUCGUCAGCUCGUGUGGUGACAUGUUGGGUUAAGUCCCGCAACGAGCGCAACCCCUAUGUCCUGUUGCCACUUCCGCGCAAGCGGAAAGCACUCUGGACAGACUGCCUCGCUUAAACGAGGAGGAAGGUGGGGAUGACGUCAAGUCAGUAUGGCCCUUACGGCCAGGGCUGCACACGUACUACAAUGCCCGGCACAAAGGGAAGCGAGACUGUAAAGUGGAGCAAAUCCCCAAAAACCGGGCCCAGUUCAGAUUGUCGUCUGCAACUCGACGACAUGAAGCUGGAAUCGCUAGUAAUGGCGCAUCAGCUACGGCGCCGUGAAUACGUUCCCGGGCCUUGUACACACCGUAGAGAC